This 443-nucleotide ribosomal RNA is filed under the name uncultured bacterium. RNAcentral's name for it is "partial 16S ribosomal RNA". It matches the Rfam family "Bacterial small subunit ribosomal RNA", at positions 338 to 795 of the family's 1533-position model. The record is from RNAcentral.
CCUACGGGUGACAGCAGUGGGGAAUAUUGGGCAAUGGGCGCAAGCCUGACCCAGCAACGCCGCGUGAAGGCAGAAGGCUUUCGGGUUGUAAACUUCUUUUCUCAGGGACGAAGAAAGUGACGGGACCUGAGGAAUAAGCCACGGCUAACUACGUGCCAGCAGCCGCGGUAAUACGUAGGGGGCAAGCGUUAGCCGGAUGUAUGGGGGGGAAAGGGCGGGGAGGAGGGAGCGCAAGGCAGAUGGGAAAACACAGGGCUCAACCCGUAGCCUGCCUUUGAUACUGUGUUUCUUGCGUGCUGGGGAGGCAAUCGGAUUUCCGUGUGUAGCGGUGAAAUGCGUCGAUAUCCGGCGGAACACCAGUGGCGAAGGCGGCUUGCUGGACAGUCACUGACGCUGAGGCGCGAAAGCGUGGGGAGCAAACAGGCUUAGAUACCCCAGUAGUC